This is a non-coding RNA of Paenibacillus bovis, 169 nucleotides long. The record is from Rfam. Lineage: Bacteria; Bacillati; Bacillota; Bacilli; Caryophanales; Paenibacillaceae.
AGCACCUUUAAUUCAGUCCCGUGAGACUGGCAAGGUAACGUGAAUGAUGUUCACUGUAAGUACACCCUCUGAUGGAGCGGUGAUGUUACAGUGCGUCUGAGUAUGACAGUCAUGACUGCGGUCGAUGACUCGAGACUCCUUGCCGUUUUGGGGCAGGGAGUCUUUUUUU